Molecule: ribosomal RNA, 117 nt
Filed under: Clostridia bacterium
Lineage: Bacteria; Bacillati; Bacillota; Clostridia
Source: RNAcentral
GUUGGUGUUGAUUACUGCGAGGGUCCACCUGUUCCCAUCCCGAACACAGAAGUUAAGCUCGCGUGUGCCAAAGAUACUUGGCUGGUAACGGCCCGGGACAAUAGGUUUUCGCCAACA